RNAcentral lists this long non-coding RNA (3174 nucleotides) under Homo sapiens (human). Its description in RNAcentral is "HSALNT0005184". The record is from RNAcentral. Lineage: Eukaryota; Metazoa; Chordata; Mammalia; Primates; Hominidae.
AUAAGGAGUUACUAUCCAGAAUAUAUAACUAAACCACAACCAAAAACCCAACCUGAUUAAAAAAUGGGCAAAGGAUUUGACUAAACAUUUCUCUAAAGAAGAUACACAAAUGGUCAAUAAGCACAUGAAAGGAUGCUCAACAUCACUAAUCAUUAGAGAGAUGCAAAUCAAAACCACACUAAGAUACCACCUCACACACAUUAGAAUAGUGACUGUCAAAAAAUUCCAGAAAAUAACAAGUGCUGGUGAGGAUGUGGAGAGAAUUUGCCCUGUUGGUGGAAAUGUAAAAUGAUGAAGCUGCUAUAGAAAACAAUAUACUGGUUCCUCAGAAAAUUUAACAGGAAUUAUCAUGUGAUCAGUAAUUCUACUUCUGGGUAUAUACACAAAAGAAUUGAAAGCAGGGUCUUGCACAUAUAUCUGUACAUCCAUAUUCACAGCAGCAUGAUUCUCGGUAGCCAAAAAGUGGAAGCAACUCAAGUGUCCAUUGACAGAUGAAUGCAUAAGCAACAUGUGGUAUAUAUACAUACAAUGGAACAUGAGUUAGUCUUAAAAAGGAAGGCGAUUCUGAUACAUGCUACAACAUGGAUGAACCUUGAGGGCAUUCGCCAAGUGAAAUAAGGCAGUCACAAAAGGAAAAAUACUGUAUAAUUCCUCAUAUUCCACUUAUAUGAGGCAUCUCGAGUCGUCAAAUUUAUAGACAGAAAAUGAAUGGUAGUUGCCAGGAGCUGAGGAUAGGGAGAAAUGGGAAGGUGUUUAAUGGAUACAGUUUCAGUUUUGCAAGAUGAAAGGAGUUCUAAGGUAGUGGUGACGUUUGCACGACAUUGUGAACAUAAUACCACUAAACUGUAUAUUUAAAAUGGUUAAGAUGAUAAAUUUUGUUGUGUGUAUUUUAUCCCAAUCUAAAAAAGUAUCAGUUCCUUCUCUAUUAAUUUCUAUGAUGAAACCUCUCAGAGCCCGGAAUGGCCCCUUGCAUCUAGCAUGCAUCAAUAAAUGCGUAAGCGGACGGAUGACCAGAUCCAGAGUUGGAAGUUACCUUUGGUGAAACCCUCUACCCAGCCUGAAUCCUUCCAGGUUGUAGGACACUCACUACCUCUCAAAGCAUGUCAUUUCUUCUUCAUUAGAAAAUUCUUCUUCAUGCCACCUUUAAGCUGAAAUAUGACUUCCCUGUAAUAUUUCCCCUUCCUCGGUGAUCAUAGCUCUGCCUUCCAGGCCCAGAAAGAACAGGUCAAAUUUCUACCUCAUCUGACCACCUUCAUGCAAUAAAAGACAGAGCUCUGUGCACUUGGAGAGUUAAAGCCUCACCCCAAAUGCAUCUUCCCGGCAGAGAGACAGUCCUUUUGCAGUUAAAUCACACUGAAAAUCCUCAAGAGGAAUAUCUGUUUCUGGUUCAUUCCAGAGAUGCACUAAAUGGCAAGAACAUGGAGGCAACACAUGGACCCGAUGGAGUCUCCUUGUGGGAGGGGACUCCCAUCUUUGAAGAACAAGAACUAUUUAUCUAGGAAUAGAGAAAUCUCUGAGUGAGACACCACCUGUCUUGAAGAUGAUUCUAUGGCAGAGGAAGCCUUGUUUUGGGUCUAAGUCCAUAGUAUAUACGUUACAGCAAAGCAGAUUUCAACUCAAUUAUUUAAAAAAGACUGUAGAACUGCAAGUGCAUAAAAACUCAUAGAAUAGUAGUAACUGUAGGAAUCAUUACUAUUAGGCCCCAGCUUGAACUUCAUUGCCCCUUUGAAUUCAGGAAAUAAAUAAGCACAUGUACACAUACGCACACCCCAUAUGUCACACCAGGCAUUGUGGCGCCAUCCAUGACUGACACUAAACAUUCUAGAAGUAUUUCUGUUUUCAUGCAGAUACACACAGCACAGCUAGUUUCAAAAUUAAACCACAAUGAAAACUGUCACUACUGACAAGGAACUAUGCAAAGACCUUCGGUCUCAGGCCCUUGCUCACUCAGGAGUACCUUGAGACCUGUUUCUUCCUGUUCAGCUGCAGUCACGGUUCUAACCUGGUUCUUCUCACGGCUGGUAUCCUCUGACCUUUUAUGUCUUGGCAAUGACUUCCAUGCAUUUUGGCAGUGACUGCCUGAAUCUCUGAUUCAACCCUGAUCGCAGCCUCUCGGGCUUUCUCGCUCCUUUAAUUCUUUCCGCGGAUGGCCACGGCUUUUGCCGCCUGUACCCUUCCUGGAGCAACCCGUGCUUUUGAAAAAUGACCAUGCCGAAGGGGAACUAACACUCCCAGCCUGGUGCGGGUCUUGUCAAUCUGAUUUUUAAAUGAUGGAGGAGGAGGUUUGAGGACAAAGCUCAUGGUGGCAUUACCACUAUCAGGGACGCUGCAAAGAUCAAGUGAAAAGGGGAAAAGGCUCUUCUCAAUGUGAGCACAUUCACAGGCUCUGAGAACAGAGAGGUAUUUAAAGUGAACUGGAACAAACCUGCAACAUCCGGUGCGUUCUGCCUUCAAAAAUAGCUGCCAGUUAGAAAGGGUUAUUUACAUAUUGAUUUCAUGCUAACUUUGUAAUGGAAUGUGCUGCCUGCCUGCCUGCCUGAGACCUAACAACUGUCAUCAUAAUUUUUUCUAAAAAUACAGUCAGAGAAAAACACUCAUUGAACCCUCCACUGGAAAGUAGCUGCAAAAGACCCCCUGAUCCCAAACCUGCUUGACAGACCACAGCCAAGGGCAGGGACACUCAACAACUGUAAACGAGGAACAUUUCACAGCGGCAGCUGGCCCCUCUCUUCUUCCAACCAGCCAAUAUUUUUUGUCUUUCUAGAAAACCUGUCUUGUUCAAAGGCCUGAUGGAGCUGAUUCGGUUGUGAUCCUGGGCAUAUGGAUGGCAUAUUUGCUGCGAGCUAGGUGAGACGCGUCCCAGAAGGACCGCUGCCAGCCCCCGCAGCCGCCUUCUCCUGCUCCCGGGAGGCUGGGGCUGGCCGCGGAGCAGCGAAACCGGCCGGAUCCAGGGUAACUGCGGCCCACUUUGUUUUCAGCCGGCCCCCGCUGCUGCGGACAAAUCUUUCAUUCAUGAACAGGAGCUUGUUAGGCCAACUCCGGACUCUAAAGCCACUUAAUUAAAUUGUGGAAAGUCGCUUGGUCCCGGUGGGAAAUUUGCACACAAAGACCCGGGGUCCGCGCCCCCCCCACCCAGGAGCGCCGCCACAAAACCGGGCCUGGCCUCCCCCCGGC